CUCCCUCCCUCCCCGUUUGGCUUCACAACUUUUCAUUAUUUUUUUCCCCGAGAGAAGAGUGAUGACAGUCUUAAAUAAGACAUAACGGGUGUAAACUCGGAAAAAGCGACUGAUGUUCAGCCGAUUGAGGCGCGCUGCAGCUUGCGGAGGCUCGGGGACGGAUAGAGCCGGAGAGGAGAGCGAGUGACCAGGAACCAAGGAGGAACCAUGAACACAGCAUCUACCAGCAAGUAACUUUCAGAGAAAUUGUCAAGUAAAGAAGCUUUCAUUAUUUCAACCAUAUAUAGCUGAUGGAGUACAGAAAAAUAAGACAGUGUUUCUUCAGAACCCUGCUGCAUAAAACAUAGAGCUACAUCACAUCACACAACAUACAGAACACAAAGCUAAGGACUAAAGUAAUUUUCCUAAAGUAUUACUAAAGUCAUAAAAGUCCUAGCCACAUAAAAUGCAUUAUUUGAAACCCAGUGCAAGAAGUGGAGACAAAAGACAGUGUAGGACAGAUAAAUUGGCUUUCAAAAAUGUUAAGAAAUGUCUGUAAUUAACUUAUAGCUAGUUCAUAUUACCAAAUAGAAUUACUGCUAUAUUUAUUAAAAAUAAAAAGUGCGUGU
Long non-coding RNA from Silurus meridionalis, 608 nucleotides. RefSeq lists it as uncharacterized. The record is from RefSeq and is a predicted model, not a curated record. The transcript is spliced from 3 exons. NCBI's taxonomy places the organism in Eukaryota, Metazoa, Chordata, Actinopteri, Siluriformes, Siluridae.